UUGCUUCAGCAGCACAUAUACUAAAAUUGGAAUGAUACAGAGAAAAUUAGCAUGGUCCCUGCACAAGGAAGAGACACAUAAAUUCAUGAAGCAUUCCAUAUUUUU
Small nuclear RNA from Mustela putorius furo (domestic ferret), 105 nucleotides. The record is from Ensembl. NCBI's taxonomy places the organism in Eukaryota, Metazoa, Chordata, Mammalia, Carnivora, Mustelidae.